AGUGAACGCUGGCGGUAGGCCUAACACAUGCAAGUCGAACGGCAGCACAGUAAGAGCUUGCUCUUACGGGUGGCGAGUGGCGGACGGGUGAGGAAUACAUCGGAAUCUACUUUUUCGUGGGGGAUAACGUAGGGAAACUUACGCUAAUACCGCAUACGACCUACGGGUGAAAGCAGGGGAUCUUCGGACCUUUCGCGAUUGAAUGAGCCGAUGUCGGAUUAGCUAGUUGGCGGGGUAAAGGCCCACCAAGGCGACGAUCCGUAGCUGGUCUGAGAGGAUGAUCAGCCACACUGGAACUGAGACACGGUCCAGACUCCUACGGGAGGCAGCAGUGGGGAAUAUUGGACAAUGGGCGAAAGCCUGAUCCAGCCAUGCCGCGUGGGUGAAGAAGGCCUUCGGGUUGUAAAGCCCUUUUGUUGGGAAAGAAAAGCAGCAGGUUAAUACCCCGCUGUUCCGACGGUACCCAAAGAAUAAGCACCGGCUAACUUCGUG
Molecule: ribosomal RNA, 492 nt
Filed under: uncultured bacterium
Lineage: Bacteria
Description: partial 16S ribosomal RNA
Rfam family: Bacterial small subunit ribosomal RNA
Source: RNAcentral